This 496-nucleotide ribosomal RNA is filed under the name uncultured Streptococcus sp. RNAcentral's name for it is "bacterial SSU rRNA". It matches the Rfam family "Bacterial small subunit ribosomal RNA", at positions 28 to 508 of the family's 1533-position model. Lineage: Bacteria; Bacillati; Bacillota; Bacilli; Lactobacillales; Streptococcaceae. The record is from RNAcentral.
GACGAACGCUGGCGGCGUGCCUAAUACAUGCAAGUAGAACGCUGAAGGAGGAGCUUGCUUCUCCGGAUGAGUUGCGAACGGGUGAGUAACGCGUAGGUAACCUGCCUGGUAGCGGGGGAUAACUAUUGGAAACGAUAGCUAAUACCGCAUAACAGUAGAUAUUGCAUGAUAUCUGCUUGAAAGGUGCAAAUGCAUCACUACCAGAUGGACCUGCGUUGUAUUAGCUAGUUGGUGGGGUAACGGCUCACCAAGGCGACGAUACAUAGCCGACCUGAGAGGGUGAUCGGCCACACUGGGACUGAGACACGGCCCAGACUCCUACGGGAGGCAGCAGUAGGGAAUCUUCGGCAAUGGACGGAAGUCUGACCGAGCAACGCCGCGUGAGUGAAGAAGGUUUUCGGAUCGUAAAGCUCUGUUGUAAGAGAAGAACGAGUGUGAGAGUGGAAAGUUCACACUGUGACGGUAUCUUACCAGAAAGGGACGGCUAACUACGUGC